CGGUCACGUGACCGCACCGGCCUCUUCUGCGGGGGGAGCCCUCGGCCCCUUCCACGUCACCGUCCAAUCUGUACUUCCCUGUAGGAACCGGUCGUGGCGCCCUUCUACGGGCCACCCGUUUCAUGGCAGCUUUAACUUUCAUUCAUUCAUUCGUGCAGCAUUUUCGGAAGUUUCAGAGGAAGCGAGCCACCAUGUUGUAAGGACACUCAAGCAGUCAUCUUCCAGAGAAACACACGUGAUGAAGAACCAAGUCCGUCAGCCUUCUUGUGACUCCACCAUCCGCAAACAUGGCUUCCAUCUCAUGGUGUAAGACGGACCCACCAAUGCCCAACACCACGUCUCUACUCCAGUACCAGAUCUGCGAACUAGGUUCUCUUGCUCCCUGUUUACAGAGGGAGAAACCAUCCCAGAGAGCCACCAUGGUCAUCUCACAGCCAGGAUGUGAAGACUUGCAAAUUGGCUGCUUCCAAAGAGCAUGGUUUUAGAAACCAGACUGUUCUGCUUCUUAAAAGUGCUGGUGCCAGGCUGACUGGUUCCCAGUCCCUCCUUGCCACUGCCUGGCUGUAUUGCUUUGCACAAAGGGUUUCCCUGUCAGAGCCUCCCUCACCUUCCUAUUCUAGAAAACCGAGGUCACAUGGCAUCUACCUGUUUAAGAGGAUUAACUGAGGUCCAGAACCUAUGAUGUAAAAUAUAGCAAAUGAUUGUUUUCUAAGUCAGUUGGCAAAGGGCUGGCCAACUUUACCCACAGCAAAUCUGUGCACUUCUCUUCCCUUGUAGACAUUCAGUUAAGAUCUGAUUUUCAAGGGCACCUGGGUGGCUCAGUUGGCUAA
Molecule: non-coding RNA, 830 nt
Organism: Callorhinus ursinus (northern fur seal)
Lineage: Eukaryota; Metazoa; Chordata; Mammalia; Carnivora; Otariidae
Source: RefSeq, a predicted model, not a curated record